GAUGAAGAACGCAGUGAAAUGCGAUACUUGGUGUGAAUUGCAGAAUCCCGUGAACCAUCGAGUCUUUGAACGCAAGUUGCGCCCGAAGCCAUUAGGCCGAGGGCACGCCUGCCUGGGCGUCACACGUCGUUGCCCCCCCAUCUACUCCUUCGGGAUUGCGGGGGGCGGAUGAUGGCCUCCCGUGCGCCUCGUCGCGCGGUUGGCAUAAAUGCCAAGUCCUCGGCGACGCACGCCACGACAAUCGGUGGUUGCGAAACCUCGGUUGCCCGUCGUGUGCGGUCGUCGCGCAUCGAGGGCUCGAAAAAAUUGCCGGGCUCCGGCUCGGCUUUCAACGCGACCCCAGGACAGGCGGGGUUACCCGCUGAAUUUAAGCAUAUCAAUAAGCGGAGGA
This 391-nucleotide unclassified non-coding RNA is filed under the name soil metagenome. RNAcentral's name for it is "partial contains 5.8S ribosomal RNA, internal transcribed spacer 2, and large subunit ribosomal RNA". The stretch from base 1 to 122 matches the Rfam family "5.8S ribosomal RNA", at positions 35 to 154 of the family's 154-position model. The record is from RNAcentral.